UACGUAGGGGGCAAGCGUUGUCCGGAAUUACUGGGCGUAAAGCGUGCGCAGGCGGCUUCGCAAGUCAGGCGUGAAAUCCCCGGGCUUAACCUGGGAAUGGCGUCUGAAACUACGGAGCUGGAGUGUGGCAGAGGGAGGUAGAAUUCCACGUGUAGCGGUGAAAUGCGUAGAUAUGUGGAGGAAUACCGAUGGCGAAGGCAGCCUCCUGGGCCAACACUGACGCUCAUGCACGAAAGCGUGGGGAGCAAACAGG
Molecule: ribosomal RNA, 253 nt
Filed under: uncultured bacterium
Lineage: Bacteria
Description: partial 16S ribosomal RNA
Rfam family: Bacterial small subunit ribosomal RNA
Source: RNAcentral